This 723-nucleotide ribosomal RNA is filed under the name uncultured bacterium. RNAcentral describes it as "bacterial SSU rRNA". It matches the Rfam family "Bacterial small subunit ribosomal RNA", at positions 8 to 711 of the family's 1533-position model. The record is from RNAcentral.
AGAGUUUGAUCAUGGCUCAGAUUGAACGCUGGCGGCAGGCCUAACACAUGCAAGUCGAGCGGAAACGACACUAACAAUCCUUCGGGUGCGUUAAUGGGCGUCGAGCGGCGGACGGGUGAGUAAUGCCUAGGAAAUUGCCUUGAUGUGGGGGAUAACCAUUGGAAACGAUGGCUAAUACCGCAUAAUGCCUACGGGCCAAAGAGGGGGACCUUCGGGCCUCUCGCGUCAAGAUAUGCCUAGGUGGGAUUAGCUAGUUGGUGAGGUAAUGGCUCACCAAGGCGACGAUCCCUAGCUGGUCUGAGAGGAUGAUCAGCCACACUGGAACUGAGACACGGUCCAGACUCCUACGGGAGGCAGCAGUGGGGAAUAUUGCACAAUGGGCGAAAGCCUGAUGCAGCCAUGCCGCGUGUAUGAAGAAGGCCUUCGGGUUGUAAAGUACUUUCAGUUGUGAGGAAGGGGGUAACGUUAAUAGCGUUAUCUCUUGACGUUAGCAACAGAAGAAGCACCGGCUAACUCCGUGCCAGCAGCCGCGGUAAUACGGAGGGUGCGAGCGUUAAUCGGAAUUACUGGGCGUAAAGCGCAUGCAGGUGGUUCAUUAAGUCAGAUGUGAAAGCCCGGGGCUCAACCUCGGAACUGCAUUUGAAACUGGUGAACUAGAGUGCUGUAGAGGGGGGUAGAAUUUCAGUGUAGCGGUGAAAUGCGUAGAGAUCUGAAGGAAUACCA